Molecule: ribosomal RNA, 804 nt
Filed under: uncultured bacterium
Lineage: Bacteria
Description: SSU rRNA
Rfam family: Bacterial small subunit ribosomal RNA
Source: RNAcentral
UACGUAGGUUCCAAGCGUUACCCGGUUUUAUUGGGCGUAAAGCGUCUGUAGGUGGUUUUUUAAGUCUUGUUUCAAAGUCCCUGACUCAAUCAGGGGAAGGGGCAGGAUACUGGAAGACUAGAGUUAUAUCGGGGUUACUGGAAUUUGUGGUGUAGGGGUAAAAUCCGUGGAUACCACAAAGAACACCAAGUGCGAAGGCGGGUAACCAGGUAUACUCUGACACUCAGAGACGAAAGCUAGGGUAGCCAAUCAGAUUAGAGACCUGAGUAGUCCUAGCCGUAAACAUUGUCUGUUAAUUUUCCUCAAUUUAUUGGGGGAGAUGUUAGCUAACGCGUUAAACAGACCGCCUGGGGAGUAUAGCCGCAAGGCCGAAACUCAAACGAAUUGGCGGGGAGGCGCACAACCAGUGGAGCAUGUGGUUUAAUUCGACACGAAGCGAUAAACCUUACCCGGGUUUGAAAUGUUCCUGCAAGCCCCCAGAAACGGGGGAAUCUUUCGAAGGUGGUUCACAGCUGUUGCAUGGCUGUUGUCAGCUCGUGACGUGAGUUGUUCUCUUAAGUGAGGUAACGAGCGCAACCCCUAUCGUAUGUUACUGUGUCAUACGAGUCUUCCCAGCAUUAUUUUGGUGGGAGGAAGGAGGGGACGACGUCAAGUCAUCAUGAUAUUUAUAUCCGGGGCUACACACAUCUUACAAUGGGUUGUUCAGAGGGUUGCAAGACGCACAAGGUGGAGAUUAUCCCUAAAACACUCCUCAGUUGGGAUGGCAGGUUGAAAUUCGCCUGCAUGAACUGGGAUUUGGUAGUA